Molecule: ribosomal RNA, 151 nt
Filed under: Prunus dulcis (almond)
Lineage: Eukaryota; Viridiplantae; Streptophyta; Magnoliopsida; Rosales; Rosaceae
Description: rRNA 5_8S_rRNA
Rfam family: Bacterial large subunit ribosomal RNA
Source: RNAcentral
AAGGCUUACGGUGGAUACCUAGGCACCCAGAGACGAGGAAGGGCGUAGUAAGCGACGAAAUGCUUCGGGGAGUUGAAAAUAAGCGUAGAUCCGGAGAUUCCCGAAUAGGAAAGGUACUUGUUGAUUCAUCGCCAGAGAUGGCUUAGAACCA